CUAACAUCUAAUAACAAAGCUGCUUAUAUUAGUGAUGUUUCUCACAGGACUGGGAGGGAAACAUAUAUUCAUUGUGACAAAAAGUAGGGAAUUGAAAUUGGAAGAGAGAGCUAUUAUGACAUGAUUGAACCUCCACAACUACCACCAUGACUUAGUGAUAUCAAAACAACAAAGCAACAAAGCUGUUGAACUUAGUGAUAUCACUCACUCCUAAAAGAUAACACAGUUGGUCCAAUCCCCGGUGCUGUGGGUGGUGUUAUUUCCGGUGGGAAUGUUGUCGGCGGCACAAUCUCCGGCCCCGGUGGCCGUGGUGGUACUACCUCGCGCCCAGGUGGCACAACAUCUGGUGGCUUAGGUGGCAAUGGCGUCUCAGGCCCAGGUGGCGAAAGAGGUGGUUUUGGGAUAUCUGGGUUUGGAAUUGUUGGAGGAGGAUCAACCACAAUCUCAGGGUCUAUUUCCGGUCCCCGUGAUGGAGGUUUGGUUCUAGGUACGUUAGGGAUCUCUGGUGGAGCCUUGCCCGAGUAUUCUGCGAAGAUUAGAAUUUUUGUGGUUGCGCGAUUGUUGAGGGGAAGAUGAAGAGACUUAGUUUUAGGUGUGUAGAAGAGGUUUCUACUGUUGUGGAAAGAGAUGGUUCUUUUGAUGAGAGAGGAGGAGAUUAAUGAUGACAUUCUAUAUCUUCAAUUUUUG
This 687-nucleotide long non-coding RNA is filed under the name Lupinus mutabilis. Its description in RNAcentral is "partial ncRNA". Lineage: Eukaryota; Viridiplantae; Streptophyta; Magnoliopsida; Fabales; Fabaceae. The record is from RNAcentral.